CAGUAGCGCGGGAAUACAGAGGGUGCAAGCGUUAAUCGGAAUUACUGGGCGUAAAGCGCGCGUAGGUGGUUCGCCAAGUUGGAUGUGAAAUCCCCGGGCUCAACCUGGGAACUGCAUCCAAAACUGGCGAGCUAGAGUAUGGUAGAGGGUGGUGGAAUUUCCUGUGUAGCGGUGAAAUGCGUAGAUAUAGGAAGGAACAUCAGUGGCGAAGGCGACCACCUGGACUGAUACUGACACUGAGGUGCGAAAGCGUGGGGAGCAAACAGGAUUAGAUACCCCCGUAGUCCCUGUCUCUUAUACC
Molecule: ribosomal RNA, 301 nt
Filed under: uncultured bacterium
Lineage: Bacteria
Description: partial 16S ribosomal RNA
Rfam family: Bacterial small subunit ribosomal RNA
Source: RNAcentral